UAGGGAAUAUUGCGCAAUGGAGGAAACUCUGACGCAGCGACGCCGCGUGGGGGAUGAAGGCUUUCGGGUCGUAAACCCCUGUCGGAAGGGAAGAAACGCAUUUUGGCUAAUAUCCAAGAUGUUUGACGGUACCUUUAAAGGAAGCACCGGCUAACUACGUGCCAGCAGCCGCGGUAAUACGUAGGGUGCUAGCGUUGUUCGGAAUCAUUGGGCGUAAAGCGCGUGUAGGUGGUUAGUUAAGUCGGGUGUGAAAUCCCUGGGCUCAACCGAGGAAGUGCAUUCGAAACUAACUAGCUGGAAGAUGGUAGAGGAAGGUGGAAUUCCUAGUGUAGAGGUGAAAUUCGUAGAUAUUAGGAGGAAUACCGGUGGCGAAGGCGGCCUUCUGGACCAUUCUUGACACUGAGACGCGAAAGCGUGGGUAGCAAACAGGAUUAGAUACCCCCGUAGUCC
RNAcentral lists this ribosomal RNA (450 nucleotides) under uncultured bacterium. Its description in RNAcentral is "bacterial SSU rRNA". It matches the Rfam family "Bacterial small subunit ribosomal RNA", at positions 355 to 796 of the family's 1533-position model. The record is from RNAcentral.